CUAUAUUUCCAUAAGCUUAUGUUUGAGAUUGACUUUGGUUUUAUAACUUAACUUUUAUAUUAAGUUUGAUUGAAUAAUAAUAAUUAUGCAAUUGUAAAUUCCUAUUCAAAGUUGAAUUUUUUUUUUUUUUGGAAUAUAUUCAAAGUUGAAUUAGCUAAUCACUUUUAUUUACUUAGCUAUCUUUGGCGCAAUUGUAUCAUUUAUGAUAGUAAAUUUGAUUUACGAAAAUCUUUUAUAAAACCACGUUUCCAAAUAAUUUGUAAGAGGGAAACUAUUCAACCCUCCUCCCUUAUAGAUUCGCAUUAUCCCUGUCAUAUGGACCAACAAUAGUUCGAAUCUUUCAAGGAAUUUGAGUUUCUCAAAGUUACAAAGGACACAAGAAGCUUUCUUUUCUCCUCUAUAAGCUAUGGGUUUUUUCUAGUUCAUCAAUAUCUAGGAAAAUCGAAGGAAUCUAGAUGGAAAAAGAAAUCUUGACGAAGAUUACAAAAGGAUCUCAUAUGAUUGAAGGAUUGAGGUGUUCACUUUAUGAAUUUUAGGCUCGGAUCAAGUUGAAGAUUAUCUUUUUCUUUUCACAUGAAUCCCUAAGGGUCCCUAACUUAGUUUGAAAAAGAUUUAAACGGUGAAACAUAUCAAAUGAAAAUAUAACUAAAAUCAUAAUGAAUAAGAAAUUAAUUUAAUCCAACAAAUAAAUAGAGAUCAAUCCUAUAACUCUAAUCUUAGAGGUUUAGUUACUCAUUGUGAUCAACAUAACAAAAGAAAUUAAAAGCACUCUCUGGAGAACAAAAGGAGGAAGAAACCCUUCCUUGAAGCUCUGAUGCUUGACCCUUGCCUUGUACUGCCAACUUUCUGAAUGAAUAAAAUAGUGUGCAAGGGUCUCUUUUUAUAAUGCAUGAUUACUUAGGGGUUAAGAGAGUGAAAAAUAUGGGUUUUCCACCUAAAACAGCUUGGAAAACAAGAAAACAACACUUCUUCCCCAUGUUCAAGCACAAGGCGCAUGGUUUGGUGUGCAGGGGUGCAUGGGGCAAUGAUGGUUGUUGUCCCAUGCGCAGGGGCGCAUGAGGUAGCUCAUCCUGCGCAAAUUCAACAGUUUUCGACCCUUUUUCACGCGUUCUUCUGUCUUGCAAAACCUUGGAACUUUAAAUGAACUUUCUUCACUUUCUGUUGUCUUUAAAUACCUUAUAAGAACC
This 1187-nucleotide long non-coding RNA is filed under the name Medicago truncatula (barrel medic). Its description in RNAcentral is "lncRNA gene31173". Lineage: Eukaryota; Viridiplantae; Streptophyta; Magnoliopsida; Fabales; Fabaceae. The record is from RNAcentral.